AAAGGAAUUGACGGGGGCCCGCACAAGCGGAGGAACAUGUGGUUUAAUUCGAUGAUACGCGAGGAACCUUACCCGGGCUUGAAUUGCUGAGGAAGAGAUCCAGAGAUGGUGACGCCCUCCGGGGCCUCAGUGAAGGUGCUGCAUGGUUGUCGUCAGCUCGUGCCGUGAGGUGUCGGCUCAAGUGCCAUAACGAGCGCAACCCCUGCCGACAGUUGCCAUCGGGCGAAGCCGGGCACUCUGUCGGUACUGCCACCGCAAGGUGUGAGGAAGGUGGGGAUGACGUCAAAUCAGCACGGCCCUUACGUCCGGGGCCACACACGUGUUACAAUGGCCGGCACAGAGCGCCGGGGGUGCGCAAGCACUCUCCAAUCGCAAAAUCCGGCCCCAGUACGGACUGGGGUCUGCAACCCGACCCCACGAAGCUGGAUUCGCUAGUAAUCGCGCAUCAGCCAUGGCGCGGUGAAUACGUUCCCGGGCCUUGUACACACCGCCCGU
RNAcentral lists this ribosomal RNA (495 nucleotides) under uncultured bacterium. Its description in RNAcentral is "bacterial SSU rRNA". It matches the Rfam family "Bacterial small subunit ribosomal RNA", at positions 903 to 1397 of the family's 1533-position model. The record is from RNAcentral.